Cylas formicarius (sweet potato weevil) is the source of this 481-nucleotide long non-coding RNA. RefSeq lists it as uncharacterized. NCBI's taxonomy places the organism in Eukaryota, Metazoa, Arthropoda, Insecta, Coleoptera, Brentidae. The transcript has 3 exons. The record is from RefSeq and is a predicted model, not a curated record.
UUACUUUGAUAUAAGUACAAGUCUUGCCUGUUUUUUUUUUUUUUAAAGGAGGUUCAAACCCGUGCGAGGUGAGGUUUGAUAUAUGAAACAGACCAGUCAUGGGGACACGAGAUAUGGAAAGUUUCAGCGUAGUCGUCGCCACAUUGCUGCCAACACUGCAUAUAUAAGGAAUCACGAACCAUUCAGGAAUAUUGAGACUUAGACCAGUAUCUUUUUAAGUAGGCAUGUGGGGUAAAGAAGACGCAGAAGCUUCAGUCGGGUACCAUCGGUAACGUAGGCGAUUGAUAUAUUUCCACCACUACAUAUGUUGGAUUGGAAUUUCCCAUUUGAUGCUUUGACUGACUAAAUGAGGAAACUUGGAGAUAUUAUUGGUGGUGCCUGCCAGCUUCCAGUUCCGAGAAAAGAAAUCCAACACUUUUCGUCUUUAUUUCCCCUGUCCUUUGUGCGCAAUAAAAGUACAGUUUGUACCCGCGAGGGUACA